AGACCCCUGGGCUAACAGCCCAAGGGACCCACCUCAAUGGCCCCCACCUGUGUCCAUAUCAGCACGCCUGGACCAGCUCAGAACAACCACCCCCACCAAUGUCUCAGUCUCCGGAGAGGAUCCUCCUCUCACCAAGAUGCCCCCAGAGCCCACCAGCUACUGGCAUAUACUCAAAACGUCCUGACACAUGAGGAGAUAAGACAAUGUGAUCGAAAACCAAGAACCACCACCAAUAAAAACCAAUCCACUGGGUGCCAGAGGGUGAAGAUAUAUAUAGAAUUUAACUAUGUUUAAUGUGUUGAAGGAAAGAAAAGAAAAUAUGGAGAAUUUUUGGAGAUAAGUAGAAUUAUUAAAAAGAAUCAAAAGUAAACUCUAAAAUAAAAAACAAUAAUUGAAAUAUGAACAUCAAUGGACAGGUUUAAUAGCAAAUGUGAUAUAGCUGAUUAGAGAAUUCAUGCAUUGAAAGUUAGAUCUGAAGACAUCCUUAGUGAAGCAAGAGAGAGAAGAGGAUGCGAAAUGUAGAAGAGAUGAUGCAAAAUAAAGGAAAUACAAAGGAAAACUACUAAUUAGGUAUAAUUAAAAAUCCCAGAAGGAAAGGAGAAGAGAAAAUAGGCGAAAACAAUAGUUGAGGAGAUAAUAGCUGAGAAUUAUCCAAAAACGAGUGAAAAAUAUUAAACCACAGAUGCAAGAAGCUCUACAACAAGUAAGCAGAAUAAGUGAAAAGAAAAUUACACCCACAUGCAGCAUAGUAAAAUUGCUAAAAGUAAAGAUGAAGAUAAAUUCCUAAAAGCAGCUAGAGAAACAACAAAAUAUUUUCAAAAGGUAACAAUAAGGGGCCGGCCCAGUGGCACAGCAGUUAAGUUUACACAUUCAGCUUUGGGGGCCUGGGGUUCACCAGUUCAGAUCCCGGGUGUAGACCUACGCACCACUUGUCAAACCAUGCUGUGGCAGGCGUCCCACAUAUA
This 965-nucleotide long non-coding RNA is filed under the name Equus caballus (horse). RNAcentral's name for it is "lncRNA (ENSECAG00000046934.1)". The record is from RNAcentral. Lineage: Eukaryota; Metazoa; Chordata; Mammalia; Perissodactyla; Equidae.